CUACGGGUUGCAGCAGUGGGGAAUAUUGCACAAUGGAGGAAACUCUGAUGCAGCAACGCCGCGUGGAGGAUGACACUUUUCGGAGCGUAAACUCCUUUUAUAUAGGAAGAAGAUGACGGUACUAUAUGAAUAAGCGCCGGCUAACUCCGUGCCAGCAGCCGCGGUAUACGGAGGGCGCAAGCGUUACUCGGAAUCACUGGGCGUAAAGAGCGUGUAGGCGGAUUAAAAAGUCAGAAGUGAAAUCCUAUAGCUUAACUAUAGAACUGCUUCUGAAACUCUUAAUCUAGAAUAUGGGAGAGGUAGAUGGAAUUUCUGGUGUAGGGGUAAAAUCCGUAGAGAUCAGAAGGAAUACCGAUUGCGAAGGCGAUCUACUAGAACAUUAUUGACGCUGAGACGCGAAAGCGUGGGGAGCAAACAGGAUUAGAUACCCCCGUAGUC
RNAcentral lists this ribosomal RNA (438 nucleotides) under uncultured bacterium. Its description in RNAcentral is "partial 16S ribosomal RNA". It matches the Rfam family "Bacterial small subunit ribosomal RNA", at positions 339 to 795 of the family's 1533-position model. The record is from RNAcentral.